This 541-nucleotide ribosomal RNA is filed under the name Curvularia lunata. RNAcentral describes it as "eukaryotic LSU rRNA". It matches the Rfam family "Eukaryotic large subunit ribosomal RNA", at positions 75 to 631 of the family's 3401-position model. The record is from RNAcentral. RNAcentral also lists the same sequence under 1 other name. Lineage: Eukaryota; Fungi; Ascomycota; Dothideomycetes; Pleosporales; Pleosporaceae.
UUGCCCUAGUAACGGCGAGUGAAGCGGCAACAGCUCAAAUUUGAAAUCUGGCUCUUUCAGAGUCCGAGUUGUAAUUUGCAGAGGGCGCUUUGGCUUUGGCAGCGGUCCAAGUUCCUUGGAACAGGACGUCACAGAGGGUGAGAAUCCCGUACGUGGUCGCUAGCUAUUGCCGUGUAAAGCCCCUUCGACGAGUCGAGUUGUUUGGGAAUGCAGCUCUAAAUGGGAGGUAAAUUUCUUCUAAAGCUAAAUAUUGGCCAGAGACCGAUAGCGCACAAGUAGAGUGAUCGAAAGAUGAAAAGCACUUUGGAAAGAGAGUCAAACAGCACGUGAAAUUGUUGAAAGGGAAGCGCUUGCAGCCAGACUUGCUUGCAGUUGCUCAUCCGGGCUUUUGCCCGGUGCACUCUUCUGCAGGCAGGCCAGCAUCAGUUUGGGCGGUGGGAUAAAGGUCUCUGUCACGUACCUCUCUUCGGGGAGGCCUUAUAGGGGAGGCGACAUACCACCAGCCUGGACUGAGGUCCGCGCAUCUGCUAGGAUGCUGGCG